This 595-nucleotide small RNA is filed under the name Pongo abelii (Sumatran orangutan). RNAcentral describes it as "retained intron". Lineage: Eukaryota; Metazoa; Chordata; Mammalia; Primates; Hominidae. The record is from RNAcentral.
UAAGGGAUAAGAUAGAACAAAAUCCUUUUGAACUCUGUGCUUUUUUGCAUAACUUGGUCUAAAGAAAAAUAAAGGUUUUAACAUCUUCCUUAUCUAUGUGUUUUUGUCAUUUUCAUAGGCAAACAACAAUAAGCAGUGGCUAGAAAUUGAUCUACUCAAGAUCAAGAAGAUAACAGCAAUCAUAACACAGGGCUGCAAGUCUCUGUCCUCUGAAAUGUAUGUAAAGAGCUAUACCAUCCACUACAGUGACCAGGGAGUGGAAUGGAAACCAUACAGGCUGAAAUCCUCCAUGGUGGACAAGAUUUUUGAAGGAAAUACUAAUACCAAAGGACAUGUGAAGAACUUUUUCAACCCCCCAAUCAUUUCCAGGUUUAUCCGUGUCAUUCCUAAAACAUGGAAUCAAAGUAUUGCACUUCGCCUGGAACUCUUUGGCUGUGAUAUUUACUAGAAUUGAAUAUUCAAAAACCCCUGGAAGAGACUCUUUAAGACCUUAAACCAUUUAGAAUGGGCAAUGUAUUUUAUGCUGUGUUAAAUGUUAACAGUUUUCCACUAUUUCUCUUUUUUUUCUAUUAGUGAAUAAAAUUUUAUACAAGAA